GUGCACGCACCCACCAGAAGUAGUUGUCUCUAUGAAUGAGAAUUAUGGUACUUAUGGUCAAAAAAGGAAGUAAAACUUACUUUCCUGUAUAUUAAUUUUAUUGUAUGACAUGUUCAUCAUUUGCAUGCCCAAUAUACUCCUGCCUCACACACACAGUGACUCUUGAGUCUCUCUGAGGUCCAUUAAUGGAGAGCUCUUUUUUUCCCUCUACAUGCUCUUCCCUCCCUCCUUCUAUGAUCUAUCAAGUUUGUGACUCUGCACACUUAGUCUUUUCUCUGUAGCCAGGCAUAAAAUAGUUUGCAGAAACGAAUGCCUUAACUUAUGUUCCCAAUUCUCUGCACAUUGUAUCAAAAAGGUUUCUAGACAUAUCCAUGAUCUAUUUGAUUCUUUCUCUUUUAUUUUUCCAGAGCUUUAAGGUUUUAUAUGCUCAGAUUCUUAUGCUCUUUAAAGAAAAAUAUAAUCUAUUACACCUACCACUUUGGUUCAACUAAUCUAUAACGUCUGGUAGCAGCUUAGCUUGCAGGUCAUCCAAAGAACAAUGAAAAAAUUAAAAGUGCAGCCCAGUGAAGACUUUUCUUAAGCCUUCUUUAGCCGUCGUGUGCACUAUGCCCUCCAAAUAUGAAGACUAUUCUCUCCUUAUUUUUUUUUCUUUGUAGGUGACAUGAAGUGGGCACCAUGAGAUUUCAUGUGUGGCCACGAGGUGGCAGUGGUUCCAUUUCCCUCAUUGCAUGAAUGCCUUAAAUUUCAAAAGCUUGAAAGUUACCAAGGGCUUGCAUUGAUUGGCUGAGUCACCAACAGAAUGGUUCUCUUGUGCACUGGAAAACAAGAACUAAGACACAGAAACAGCUCUUCUGAGAAAAGAAGGUUUGGAAUCACAAAUUGUAUCAAGACUGAGGUGUCAGGAUGGAGAAAAUGCUGAAAUAUGCAUUGAUAGUCUUGUGCCUUCAGUUUGGCUGGUCAACUGGAAAAGACCAAGUGGAACAGAGUCCUCGGGCACUGAUACUCCAGGAGGGAGACAAUGUCAGCCUCAACUGCAGUUACUCAGUCAGCAAAUUUGGAGGCCUACAGUGGUAUAAGCAAGAUCCUGGGAAUGGUCCUGACCUCCUCUUCCUCCUGUAUUCAGUUGGGGAUGAAGAGCAGAAAGAGAGACUUAGAGGCACAUUAUCAAAAAAGGAAAGUUCCCUGCACAUCACAGCCUCUAAACCUGAAGACUCAGCCACUUACCUCUGUGCUGUGGACACAGUGCUCCCCCAGCACCUGUAGCCUGUACGAAAACCAUACAGCUGGGGCCCUUGAAUAAAUGGCAGAGGCAUCUCUGUGUCUUUUCUCCUCAGAGGAAGGAGUGUUUAAUCAGCACCUAGAUCCUCUUACCAAGGGGUCCUAUGGAGAAUAAAGGCUUGUGACAUGGCCAGAGAACAAAGAUGUGUAAAUGCACAUUACUGUUCAUUCUGUCCAGGUAUCUCUGACAGUCCCCUUGUGCAUCAUGCUAAUGAGAGUUCUAGUUACUGUAUAUCUUCACCAAGAAAUGGUAUCAGGUGUGGUGUUGUUUUUAACCAUUCUGGUGAUAUGUAGUGUUAUAUCAUUCUGGUUUUAAUUUGCUGAGCAUCUUUUCAUGUAUUCAUUGACUAUCUGGAUAUUAUUUUCUGUUCAGUGCCUGUUCAAGUUUUUUGCUUCUUUUUUAGUUGGGAUAUUUGUCAUUUAUCAAUCAUUUGUAGGUGUUCUUUAUAUACUCUGCAUAUGAGCCCUUGUCAAAAAUAUAGAUUGUGAAUUUUUCACUAAACAAUUGCUUGAUUAUUCACUUUUAAAAUGAUGUCCUUUAAUGUACAAAAGUCCCUAAUUUUAAUAAAGUUCAACGAAUCAAUUUUUUUCUUCUAUGGUUAGUAUGU
Trichechus manatus latirostris (Florida manatee) is the source of this 1886-nucleotide non-coding RNA. NCBI's taxonomy places the organism in Eukaryota, Metazoa, Chordata, Mammalia, Sirenia, Trichechidae. The record is from the annotation of a RefSeq genome assembly.